CCGCAAAUGCUUUAAAAAUGAAAAAAGAAAAUUGAAAAAGCAAUCUCGAUUCUCGGUCACGAGAACCAAUCGACUCGCAGUCGUCGAUUCUCUCUUCCCAUCUUCCUUGCUUCCCCCCCCAUCUCGAACCUUCAUCGCUCUUCCUCAAUCGUUGAUUGGUUGCCGGGCCCCUUGCUCACCCUUCGGCAAACAAGUUGCACUAGCUUCGCAGCUAAACUCUCUGGUACUCUAGCUGCCCCACUCCUCCCCAUUCACUGUCAACCUCACCAGUGCUCCGAGUCUAGUCGGAGCCGCCCCUGCGUGCCCAGCUCUCCCAGUUAGCAGGGUAACGCCACCGCCCUUCUUCCUCCGCCUGCGUCGCCUAAUCAGUACUUUUUGCUUUGAAUUCAAAUAAAGUCGUUCAGGUUGAAUUAUUUGCACCGCAGUGUGGCCACUGCCAAGCUCUAACUCAGACAUGGGAAACGGCAGCAACUGUUUUGAAAGGGAUUGCUACCGUGGCAGCCUUAGAUGCUUAUGCACACCGGUCCCUUAUAGAUGUUUGUUGAGGAAGCAUCAAGUACUUGCCAUCUUGUAAUACUUAAGAUUUCGUUUGCUAAGAUAUAAUCAACUCUGUUUUACUCAUGUUAAUAUUAAAUUUAUAUAGAUUUAUAAGCAUAGAAAUUUAACUUUUUGUUAUUAGAAUGGUGGAAUAUUAAAAUUAUUAUGUAUUUGUUGAAUAUGCUAUAUUGAAUUUGUUAUGGAUAUUUUGAGGGUACAGAUCAA
Punica granatum (pomegranate) is the source of this 762-nucleotide non-coding RNA. The record is from RefSeq and is a predicted model, not a curated record. Lineage: Eukaryota; Viridiplantae; Streptophyta; Magnoliopsida; Myrtales; Lythraceae.